Molecule: microRNA, 22 nt
Filed under: Drosophila ananassae
Lineage: Eukaryota; Metazoa; Arthropoda; Insecta; Diptera; Drosophilidae
Description: Dan-Mir-252-P1b_3p* (star (passenger))
Source: RNAcentral
GCAAUGUAUAGCCUACAUAACU